This 578-nucleotide ribosomal RNA is filed under the name uncultured Mycobacterium sp. RNAcentral describes it as "bacterial SSU rRNA". It matches the Rfam family "Bacterial small subunit ribosomal RNA", at positions 102 to 694 of the family's 1533-position model. The record is from RNAcentral. Lineage: Bacteria; Bacillati; Actinomycetota; Actinomycetes; Mycobacteriales; Mycobacteriaceae.
ACGGGUGAGUAACACGUGGGUGAUCUGCCCUGCACUUUGGGAUAAGCCUGGGAAACUGGGUCUAAUACCGAAUAUGACCAUGCGCCUUCUGGUGUGUGGUGGAAAGCUUUUGCGGUGUGGGAUGGGCCCGCGGCCUAUCAGCUUGUUGGUGGGGUAAUGGCCUACCAAGGCGACGACGGGUAGCCGGCCUGAGAGGGUGACCGGCCACACUGGGACUGAGAUACGGCCCAGACUCCUACGGGAGGCAGCAGUGGGGAAUAUUGCACAAUGGGCGCAAGCCUGAUGCAGCGACGCCGCGUGAGGGAUGACGGCCUUCGGGUUGUAAACCUCUUUCAGCACAGACGAAGCGCAAGUGACGGUAUGUGCAGAAGAAGGACCGGCCAACUACGUGCCAGCAGCCGCGGUAAUACGUAGGGUCCGAGCGUUGUCCGGAAUUACUGGGCGUAAAGAGCUCGUAGGUGGUUUGUCGCGUUGUUCGUGAAAACUCACAACUCAAUUGUGGGCGUGCGGGCGAUACGGGCAGACUUGAGUACUGCAGGGGAGACUGGAAUUCCUGGUGUAGCGGUGGAAUGCGCAGA